Chinchilla lanigera (long-tailed chinchilla) is the source of this 1205-nucleotide long non-coding RNA. RefSeq lists it as uncharacterized. The transcript is spliced from 4 exons. The record is from RefSeq and is a predicted model, not a curated record. Lineage: Eukaryota; Metazoa; Chordata; Mammalia; Rodentia; Chinchillidae.
AUAACCACCCCCACCCCGGGCAUCAGGUCAGGACACCGGGCUCUAUAGCAGCGGGCAGGGUAGGGAAACCCAGGGGCGAGGAGGGGCCCAUGGAAGUGAAGUUUGGAAGCCAAGACGCUUUGGACCAUUAAGAAUUCAAGAAUACCAAUCUUCAGAAUCCUAGAACCAUAAAAUUCUCAGUCUGGGGAUCUGAGAUUCCUACAGCCUGAGAUUCCUGAGGUCCAGAAUCCUAACAACACUCUAGAAUCCUAGAGUCCUAGACAAAUGAAUGGAGAGAUCCAAAGUAGAGAUGUAGCCCUCCCAGUCCCUCAUCCUGUCACACCCAGGAGCAUGUUCUCUCCAGGGCUAGAUGAUGAGAACAACAGUCUUUGAGCAUCAAUGAACUGGAAAAGACUUCACAGUAACAGACUCAGAAUUACGGGCAAGGCAGCACAACAGCGCCAGGCUCAAAACCCAAGUCUUGGAUCCUAGUCCGUUGCUCUUCCUGGUCAGCAACUAGGGUAGACGCAGAAGAAUCGUCACAGGCGCCCCCAAGAUACAGACACCUGGGCCCAAGGAUCUCCCUUCAUGGACAGCAAAUAGCAGAAUCACAAGGUCCCUUGGAAAGAGUCAGAAAUCCUGCGUCCAACUCAGGUUCACUACUGCCAUCUACUGACCAUGGCAAGGAGAAAACAUUCAGCCACCAAGAGGCUGGGCCCCCAGGGAGGAUUUGCAGCACCUUCAGCCUAGAGAACUGAACCCAGGAUCUUCUCCCUGUUAGAAGUUUCUACUACCACCCUGAGCCCCCAGGACCUGACUGAUCCCCCAGGAAGCCCAGUCCUUAGGGAGAUGAAGAACCUGGGCCUGGAUCAGGAAAAGCCAUUCAAGUUUCAAACCUGCUACAGGACCCGUGAGAGUCCACAGACGCAUGCGCUCUGUAGGUGCCAUGCAACACAGGCGGGGGGGAUGCGGAGCCGAGGAAGACUGGGAUGCCCGUCAUCGCUUGACUGCAUCAAGCAAUAGGGUGAUGGGGUUAAAACACUGAGGAGCGCAAGUUAAGGGUAAACUGACAUGGCAAACAUGCGGGCACAGAACCAUGCUGUUCUGCACGGGGCAGUCAUGCAACACGAGGCAGCUUCAGGCUGGAUGCUCGGUCUUCUUACACGUGGCCCAGGGCCCUCUGAGCAUGCAGUGCUCGCAUGGGCCCAGGUCUCCAUGAAGCUCCA